CAGAACCUGUCUGUGAGAACUGGAAGGUAUCGAUCUAUUCUCCAGUUGGUAAAGCCAUGGUAUGAUGAAGUGAAGGAUUAUGCUUUUCCUUAUCCUCAGGACUGCAACCCCAGGUGCCCCAUGCGAUGCUAUGGACCCAUGUGCACCCAUUACACACAGGGGGAAUUGGAUUGGAGAGGCACCAUAUAAAGUAGGAGUCCCAUGCUCUGCUUGCCCUCCAAGCUACGGAGGUUCUUGUACCGACAAUCUUUGUUUUCCAGGAGUAACAUCAAACUACUUAUAUUGGUUUAAAUAAGUUAACGUUUACAUUAUUUUUAAAAAACUUGGAUGAGUAACAAGAAGCUUGUAUAUUUGAAUUUUGCACAUAUUUUUAUAUAGAGAGAUAUUGUAAUAAUACUCUGAUGUUUUCUUUUUGUAUGCUUUUGUAUAAUUAGCUUCCAAAGUAUAGUGUAAUUAGUUGUUAACUCUUUGGGAUUUAUGACUCACAGUAGCCCUUUUUAGAUUAACAUUCUGUAAAGGAGAGCAAACUCAUUUUCAUUUUAGCAAGAGUAGCUUCCUGAAAAUAAGGUUCUAUUAAAAGCACAUUAAAAGGUACUGUCAACUUAUACCUAAAACAUGCUGUCCUUUUAAAAAUAAUAGGUUUUGAAAGAGAAGGAUCAUUGUUUAAUACUGUGCUUUAAAAAUGGAGUGUCAAGCAAUAAUUCUUCCUCACACUGCCAAUGGUUCCUCCCAUUUAUACCUGUGCUUUCAUCUGCAAUGUCAGUGGGGACUGUGCAGAGGAAAAACAUAUCUGCAAGAGAAACUGCAAGAUAUUACCUACCUCAUGCACAACAUUAAUUCAUUUAUGGUGUUUCAAGAAUUCAGCACAUGGCUGCUGCUAUCAUCAACAAUGCCUGUGUGCAGACAGAAAAAUUAGACAGAAUAAGAAACCAUAUGGGCCAAGAUGCAGUGGUUGUCAAUCAUGUGCAUAAAACCUGAUGUUGAUAGAAAGCUACAUCACUUUGUAUGUAUAUCUGGUAUAAUCAACACAGCCAGACUCUGUAUUACUGUGUUUCUGAACACAGUCAUUGAGGUAUAAAUAUGCUUUGUCACAGUAUAUUUUUACUGUUCUGGAAGUACAGAAAUAUAUUGUUACAAAGCAGUGCAUAUCAGUACAUGAUAUACAUACUGCAUCUUUCAAACUAUUAUCUUACCAGUAUAUGUGCUGUUCCCCUGACUGAAUUUCAUCCACUUUACAUUUUCAAGAACAGGUUGGACCUAAAAGUGGGUAAGAGGAUUUCCAAGUAAAAUAUUAAAAAUUCAUCAGGCAACUUUAAAAAUUUAUUUCUUCAUACAGAUAAGCAGUGAAGAUUCCAAAUUUCUAAAGCAAUCGACAGUGUACUUUAAAAUAUAUGUGACUAUUUCCUGAAAGUAUCUGAAUUAUUAAAAGACAAAUUAUUUAUACCUUUUCUAUCAAAAUCUGAACUGAAUGCAUAGUAUGUACUCACAGAGAGAGUACAUUUCAAGAUAGAAUGUUGCACAAUUAGUUUUCUUCAAAAACAGAUUAUAAAAAGAAAGAAAUCCAGUGUCUACCACAACUAUUACACUACUGAAAUGGAGUUUUUUCUUUUUAUGAGAAUCAUUUUGAGGUGUUUGUAUGAGACAGUCUGUCAUGCAAUGAAGUACCAUGGUGGUGCUAUAUAAAAAGUUGGAAUUGUUCACAUUAGCUAUUCUUUUUCUGCAUCAAGACGUGUGGAGGGACUGAACUGUACAGCUUUGCUAAAUAUAACAGCCCC
This 1775-nucleotide long non-coding RNA is filed under the name Gallus gallus (chicken). Lineage: Eukaryota; Metazoa; Chordata; Aves; Galliformes; Phasianidae. The record is from RNAcentral.